CGGAGGAUCCAAGCGUUAUCCGGAAUUACUGGGCGUAAAGAGUUGCGUAGGUGGCAUUGUAAGCAAGUAGUGAAAGCGUUCGGCUCAACCGAAUAAACAUUACUUGAACUGCAAAGCUAGAGGAUGAGAGAGGUUAUUGGAAUUCCCUGUGUAGGAGUGAAAUCCGUAGAUAUAGGGAGGAACACCGAUGGCGUAGGCAGAUAACUGGCUCAUUCCUGACACUAAGGCACGAAAGCGUGGGUAGCAAACGGGAUU
Molecule: ribosomal RNA, 255 nt
Filed under: uncultured bacterium
Lineage: Bacteria
Description: partial 16S ribosomal RNA
Rfam family: Bacterial small subunit ribosomal RNA
Source: RNAcentral